UCGGGAAUUUUGGGCAAUGGGCGAAAGCCUGACCCAGCAACGCCGCGUGAAGGAUGAAGUAUUUCGGUAUGUAAACUUCGAAAGAAUAGGAAGAAUAAAUGACGGUACUAUUUAUAAGGUCCGGCUAACUACGUGCCAGCAGCCGCGGUAAUACGUAGGGACCAAGCGUUGUUCGGAUUUACUGGGCGUAAAGGGCGCGUAGGCGGCAAUUCAAGUCAUCUGUGAAAUCUCCGGGCUUAACUCGGAACGGUCAGAUGAUACUGCUUUGCUAGAGUGCAGAAGGGGCAAUCGGAAUUCUUGGUGUAGCGGUGAAAUGCGUAGAUAUCAAGAGGAACACCUGAGGUGAAGACGGGUUGCUGGGCUGGACACUGACGCUGAGGCGCGAAAGCCAGGGGAGCAAACGGGAUUAGAUACCCCCGUAGUCCCUGAGCGGGCUGGCAAGGCGCAU
RNAcentral lists this ribosomal RNA (448 nucleotides) under uncultured bacterium. RNAcentral's name for it is "bacterial SSU rRNA". It matches the Rfam family "Bacterial small subunit ribosomal RNA", at positions 355 to 825 of the family's 1533-position model. The record is from RNAcentral.